This 255-nucleotide ribosomal RNA is filed under the name uncultured Enterobacteriaceae bacterium. RNAcentral's name for it is "partial 16S ribosomal RNA". The stretch from base 29 to 255 matches the Rfam family "Bacterial small subunit ribosomal RNA", at positions 105 to 339 of the family's 1533-position model. The record is from RNAcentral. Lineage: Bacteria; Pseudomonadati; Pseudomonadota; Gammaproteobacteria; Enterobacterales; Enterobacteriaceae.
AGCUUGCUGCUUCGCUGACAGUGCGGACGGUGAGUAAUGUCUGGGAAACUGCCUGAUGGAGGGGGAUAACUACUGGAAACGGUAGCUAAUACCGCAUAACGUCGCAAGACCAAGAGGGGACCUCGGCCUCUUGCCAUCAGAUGUGCCCAGAUGGGAUUAGCUAGUAGGUGGGUAACGGCUCACCUAGGCGACGAUCCCCUAGCUGGUCUGAGAGGAUGACCAGCCACACUGGAACUGAGACACGGUCCAGACUCC